Molecule: non-coding RNA, 1044 nt
Organism: Megalopta genalis
Lineage: Eukaryota; Metazoa; Arthropoda; Insecta; Hymenoptera; Halictidae
Source: RefSeq, a predicted model, not a curated record
GCAAAUUCAAUUCUCGUUGUCGAUGCUGUGCUGCGUCGCGAGAGCCUUGUUGCCUUGCGAAAAGAGCGCCAUCGCUCGGUGAUGGCGCGCGCGCGCAAGUGAACGGCCGCGAUUCGAGGUUAGAACGUUGUAAGAUCGUUCUCGGAACAAUCUCACGUUUUCCAUUGGGCAACUUAGAAAAUGUUUGCACACGCGCUGCGUUUAGUAACAAUAGUCUAUUUUAACUUGCGAUCUACCACGUGAUCCUUUCUUACAAUUAAUUCGGCCCGAGCUCAAUUUAUAAUUAAUGACGAUCCCAGAAUAAGGCGCAGUCAAGUACGUUCCCGAACUUUUAAUUGGAAAUGGAUCAUGGCAAAACAAUUCCGUUGUUCGCGAAUUUGAAACAAGCGUAUCCAUAAUUUCGCGAAAUGGUAAAUGCGGGAUUAUGAUAAAUAGCGUUGUCCAAUUGUCCAAUAAUGCGAACAUGGAAGGACGAGGUCACCUGACACCCGAUGAAACGAAACACGUAGCCUAAUUAAAUUUAGUUCGAAUCAGAUGUCAUCGUAUCGGGUCGUAAGGUAGCUGCAUUGGCGUAACCAGCCGAUGAUCGAUCGGCUGGAAAUCUCCGCAACGUUAUCGGCAGGAUUAACCCUUGAGAUACUCUGUGUCUCGCGGGCCCUUCAGUCACUUGAAAUUAUUGGCGAGCGCGGUACAGCUGGAUUUCUAGCUGAUGUACGUGCUUUGCGUUCGAGACUUAAUGCAACGCUUGGAGCGAUGAAUAACGACCUUGAAAUCCUGGGAACAGCGUCCUUGAAAUCAGAACCAGUGAUUCCGAUGACGACUCUGGUGGAGGACAAUUCCAACAGCGUCCACAGUCCUCGUUCAAUACACGAUCCUCCAGCAUAGCCCUGAACCGUUCAGCUGACAAAUCGUCUAGAAAACAGGCAAACCAUCCAAAACAAUGACACACACUCGUCGCAGUGAGCGAUGCUGCCUUCAGCAUCGCAGGAACAUCUCGGUAGACGUCUCAUCAAAAGAGCAACGAUGAUCGCAGAGCCUCGAACU